CUCGCACGUAUAUACGACAAAAACUUGUCUGUUCGUAAUUCUCCGUGAACACGAAAAUGACCGAUAAGUGUCAGUGAUUUGAUCGAUCACAUGCGGAGAAUCAACUUCCAUGCCAGCUAUUGAACCAAUUAACGAGUUAUCGAAAGAUGGGCGGUAACGCAGAUGAAACCUUUGAAGUGACGACGAUGUUAUUCCUUUCAAUAUUACUUCCAUGAUU
This 217-nucleotide long non-coding RNA is filed under the name Mytilus galloprovincialis (Mediterranean mussel). The record is from RNAcentral. Lineage: Eukaryota; Metazoa; Mollusca; Bivalvia; Mytilida; Mytilidae.